UCUUUUCCAAUGCAGUUCUUCAUGAUGCUCCAUAAAUUGAGGCUAUAGUUUGGCUUGUAUGGUAUUCUGGUUCUCUUUUCCUUUUUGGUCUCCUCCAGCUGAUGCUUGUACUGUUCAUCAAGGCUGAUGUCACUGCUGGCUCCACUGAUAUUGCUGCCAGUACGUUUGUGGCCCAAAUUUUCAGGCAUGGUGAUGAUCUCAG
RNAcentral lists this long non-coding RNA (202 nucleotides) under Homo sapiens (human). RNAcentral's name for it is "LNC_000615". The record is from RNAcentral. Lineage: Eukaryota; Metazoa; Chordata; Mammalia; Primates; Hominidae.